This 454-nucleotide ribosomal RNA is filed under the name Flexibacter sp. M125SB117Ax. Its description in RNAcentral is "bacterial SSU rRNA". It matches the Rfam family "Bacterial small subunit ribosomal RNA", at positions 60 to 516 of the family's 1533-position model. Lineage: Bacteria; Pseudomonadati; Bacteroidota; Cytophagia; Cytophagales; Flexibacteraceae. The record is from RNAcentral.
AGUCGAACGGCAAGGUACUUCGGUACCCUAGAGUGGCGCACGGGUGCGUAACGCGUAUGCAACUUACCCUUUACUGGGGGAUAGCCCGGGGAAACCCGGAUUAAUACCUCAUGGCAACAUUGAUUCGCAUGAUGAGAUGUUUAAAGAUUUAUCGGUAAAGGAUGGGCAUGCGUCUGAUUAGCUAGUUGGUAGUGUAACGGACUACCAAGGCGACGAUCAGUAGGGGGUCUGAGAGGAUGAUCCCCCACACUGGCACUGAGAUACGGGCCAGACUCCUACGGGAGGCAGCAGUAGGGAAUAUUGGUCAAUGGGCGAGAGCCUGAACCAGCCACGCCGCGUGAAGGAUGAAGGCGUUCUGCGUUGUAAACUUCUUUUAUCUGGGAAGAAAAAGCUCAUGCGUGAGCAACUGACGGUACCAGAUGAAUAAGCACCGGCUAACUCCGUGCCAGCUGCG